This 440-nucleotide ribosomal RNA is filed under the name uncultured bacterium. RNAcentral's name for it is "partial 16S ribosomal RNA". It matches the Rfam family "Bacterial small subunit ribosomal RNA", at positions 338 to 795 of the family's 1533-position model. The record is from RNAcentral.
CCUACGGGAGGCAGCAGUAGGGAAUAUUGCUCAAUGGGGGAAACCCUGAAGCAGCAACGCCGCGUGGAGGAUGAAGGUUUUCGGAUUGUAAACCUCUUUUGUUAGAGAAGAAAAUGACGGUACCUAACGAAUAAUCACCGGCUAAUUCCGUGCCAGCAGCCGCGGUAAUACGGAGGGUGCAAGCGUUACUCGGAUUCACUGGGCGUAAAGGGCGCGUAGGCGGGUUAGCAAGUCAGAUGUGAAAUCCUAUGGCUUAACCAUAGAACUGCAUUUGAAACUGGUAUUCUUGAGUAUGGGAGAGGCAGGUGGAAUUCUUGGUGUAGAGGUGAAAUGCGUAGAGAUGAAGAGGAACACUCAUUGCGAAGGCGGCCUGCUGGAACGUAACUGACGCUGAUGCGCGAAAGCGUGGGGAGCGAACAGGAUUAGAUACCCGUGUAGUC